GUCUCUGUAGCGCAAUGGAUAGCACGUUGGACUUCUAAUCCAAAGGUCGUGGGUUCGAAUCCCACCCGGGAUG
RNAcentral lists this transfer RNA (73 nucleotides) under Trichonephila clavipes. It matches the Rfam family "tRNA". From Rfam's summary of the family: Transfer RNA (tRNA) molecules are approximately 80 nucleotides in length. Their secondary structure includes four short double-helical elements and three loops (D, anti-codon, and T loops). Lineage: Eukaryota; Metazoa; Arthropoda; Arachnida; Araneae; Nephilidae. The record is from Rfam by way of RNAcentral.